RNAcentral lists this ribosomal RNA (509 nucleotides) under uncultured bacterium. RNAcentral describes it as "bacterial SSU rRNA". It matches the Rfam family "Bacterial small subunit ribosomal RNA", at positions 19 to 518 of the family's 1533-position model. The record is from RNAcentral.
CUGGCUCAGGAUGAACGCUAGCUACAGGCUUAACACAUGCAAGUCGAGGGGCAGCAUUGGAGUAGCAAUACUCAGAUGGCGACCGGCGCACGGGUGAGUAACACGUAUCCAACCUGCCGCUUACUCGGGGAUAGCCUUUCGAAAGAAAGAUUAAUACCCGAUGGUAUAAAGAGUUCGCAUGUUCUCUUUAUUAAAGGAUUUCGGUAAGCGAUGGGGAUGCGUUCCAUUAGAUAGUUGGCGGGGUAACGGCCCACCAAGUCUACGAUGGAUAGGGGUUCUGAGAGGAAGGUCCCCCCACAUUGGAACUGAGACACGGUCCAAACUCCUACGGGAGGCAGCAGUGAGGAAUAUUGGUCAAUGGACGAGAGUCUGAACCAGACCCAAGUAGCGUGAAGGAUGACUGCCCUAUGGGUUGUAAACUUCUUUUAUAAGGGAAUAAAGUGAGGGGCGUGUCCCUUUUUGUAUGUACCUUAUGAAUAAGGAUCGGCUAACUCCGUGCCAGCCGCCGC